CUACAUAAUGCCGCGUAACAAAAAUGUAAAUACCAGAAAAUUUAUUCCCUCUCCUAAGGGGCAAGCAAUCCUAGUGGGAUGAUGACAGAUAAUCACGGGUGAUCUUUAGUCUUGAAAGAUAAAUUACAGGAUUUCUUAUUAAAAAAGAUAAAUUACAGGAUGAUCUGACUGAAAUCUGUUCUAAACAGCGGCUUGCAAGGAUUCCCGAGCAAUGUCUAGGGCCUCCUCCACUGAGGUUGCGUUUUGAAGUUUGGCUUUAUCAAUCGGAGGCUGUCUUCUGGCAAGUUCAGGCAGGAGCUGAAAUUCCUGAUACACAUAUUCAAAAAACAGCUCUCAGGAUUGAUAAGUUAAGCAUAGAACUAAUUCAGAAUACUGUAUAAUUUAUUUGAUUUAUAGAUUUAUAAGUGCAAAUCUAUAGAACUAUGAGAUGACAGAGCCUGGUUAUUAAUAAUAUUAACAAGUAACGACGAACUUCAAACGAACAUAUCUAAUUCUAUUAUCUACUACACUAGAAAAAUAGUGGAAAUUACCUCAGGGCUCCCACUUUCAACAAGAACUCCCUUAAGCUUACCUGUGUGGCAAUAGCACACUAUUAGUAAAUAACCAGGAUCAAGCAUGGUGCAUGCACUCACAAAUAUAAACGAACAUCUCCCCUCAAGCUCAGAGAUAGUCCAGACAUCUAUACAAAAGUAAGGACAAACAAUCCUUACCAGAUUCAAUCCAAAAAGUAGCUAUUUUAGGAUCAAAGUUUCCAAUUUCAACCGUUUCUCCAACUGUUCAUAGAAAAAUUAGUAUGAGGAACAAGGGGUGAAAAUAGAAAGAAAAUACUGAAAUGAAAGGUCAGUAAAUGAUAAUUAUUUUGAAUAAAUAAUUACCGUUGUCUCCAAAAAACUGCCACCAUACUUUUCUAGGGCUUCCUUCAUAUUCAAAAACCCUUGAGUAGAAGUAUGGAAGAUAAUCAUACCUGAAAAUCACCAAUGAAAUUCAGCAACAUUGACAGGGACAAAAAAAUAAAAAUAAAAAAAAUAAAAAAAAUAAAAAC
Molecule: long non-coding RNA, 1042 nt
Filed under: Medicago truncatula (barrel medic)
Lineage: Eukaryota; Viridiplantae; Streptophyta; Magnoliopsida; Fabales; Fabaceae
Description: lncRNA gene49974
Source: RNAcentral